Molecule: long non-coding RNA, 1832 nt
Filed under: Ananas comosus (pineapple)
Lineage: Eukaryota; Viridiplantae; Streptophyta; Magnoliopsida; Poales; Bromeliaceae
Description: long non-coding RNA (ACOM_LNC038599)
Source: RNAcentral
ACGCAACGGUGCGCUCGGUUCGGCGAUCCGACGAGUGUACGCGGAGAUAUUGAGGAUCGAAGCCGUUAAGGUACAGAUUGCCGCAGCUCACGGCGAAAGCUUCCAAAAAUCAUGAAAAUGGAAUUGUAGCAUCGUGGUGUCGGGGAAUAAACUCCAGAACAGACGGAUCGCGGAUAGGAGGUCAUUUGGCAGUCGCGCGUGAGUUGGGUCGAGCCGUGCGGCGUGCGCCGCAGGAGGCCGAUUGCGAGUGACGACGAGCAAUCGGAACGCUAUAAAAGGUGGGUGGUGUCCAUCCCAAAGCAAUCGGGCUCCCUUUUAUGUCUAAGUUUAUAUUGAUCAAAUUGCAUAUUGACAUCUUGCAUUAUAGGGUGAUAAAUGAUGGUUUGGUCCUAUACCUUGCAUGUUCUUUGGUAGAAUAAUGUAUUUGGCUUAGUACUUAUAUCUAGCAUGCUUGAGGUUUAUAUAUGUGAUGUGGAACCCUAUAAUGAGAUGAUAAGUGUGGAUGGGAAUUUAGUNGAUGAUCGUGGUAAGGGCGUAGCGCCCUAGCUAGCUAGUAGAGCUUUCCUAUUGUACUAGAGCACCCUCGUGUGCAUGGUUAUAGAUGACAUGAUGUAUUUUGGAUAGCUAGCAUUAUAUAUGUAAGGUAUCGGACUUCUAAAAUCAUGAAGUUACGGUGUACAUUUGGUUGGAAGACUAUUUGAAAGGUUCUGGUGAAGUUCGGUGAAGUUCGGGAGCAUUCGGGCGUUUCGGUGCGCGUAGGCGCUAAAACGGAACCCGGGAGGCUAAGUGGGCCGUGAGUUAAAUCCGGCAUUAGCGAGGAUGGAAAGAUGAUGAAAACAUGUUUGGAAACAUGUUUGGAGAGUCUCGGUUCGAUUUGAGACGAAUCGGAGGUCAAACGAGCAAAAACGGACGAAAACGGGCGAAAAUGCUGAAAAUUUGGCUGUCCUUGAGGCUGAGUUCUAGACCUUCGGGGACCGGUCUCUUAGCCAAGGACCGGUCUCUCAGGGACCGGUCUCUCACCGCAAGGACCGGUCCCCGAGCGCGAAAAUGGCCCCCGCGGGGGCAAUGUAAUAAAGUGAAAGUUGAGGGGUUUUUAUGCAUUUGUAGCAUUAUGAGAGUGUAUAGAAGUGGGUUUUAGCCCAUUUCUCUCUCUCCCUCAACCGUAUGAACCCAACACCCCUCCCUCUCUCCCUCUCUAACGUGAAGAAGAAGAAGAAGAAAGAGGAGAAGGAAAAGGAGAAGAAGAAAAGGGAGGAGAAGGAGAGAAGCAUCAUCAUCACCACCAUCAUCUUCUUCUUCCUCUCAACCUUGGAGCUAACACCUAGAGGUAAGCUUGAUGCUUAUUAAUGGUAGAUCUCUAGGGCUUGAGCCUUUUGCUCUAGAAUUGGAUUUAGAUGAAUCCUAGCAAGCUUAAUAGAUGUUUAUUGCAUGAAUUGGAGAUCAAUUUGGUGGAUUUUGCCGUAGUACAAAUCUAGGGCUCCAAAAUGGCGAUUUGAUUUACAGGAGGGUUUGAUCUCUUUUAACACUCUGUAAACCUAAUUGGUAGGUCUACGAACGCAACGGUGCGCUCGGUUCGGCGAUCCGACGAGUGUACGCGGAGAUAUUGAGGAUCGAAGCCGUUAAGGUACAGAUUGCCGCAGCUCGCGGCGAAAGCUUCCAAAAAUCAUGGAAAUGGAAUCGUAGCAUCGUGGUGUCGGGGAAUAAACUCCAGAACAGACGGAUCGCGGAUAGGAGGUCAUUUGGCAGUCGCGCGUGAGUUGGGUCGAGCCGUGCGGCGUGCGCCGCAGGAGGCCGAUUGCGAGUGACGACGAGCAAUCGGAACGCUAUAAAAG